Molecule: unclassified non-coding RNA, 282 nt
Filed under: Collophora sp.
Lineage: Eukaryota; Fungi; Ascomycota; Leotiomycetes
Description: partial contains 5.8S ribosomal RNA, internal transcribed spacer 2, and large subunit ribosomal RNA
Rfam family: 5.8S ribosomal RNA (bases 1-71)
Source: RNAcentral
GUGAGUCAUCGAAUCUUUGAACGCACAUUGCGCCCUCUGGUAUUCCGGGGGGCAUGCCUGUUCGAGCGUCAUUACAACCCUCAAGCUCUGCUUGGUCCUGGGCGUCGCCACCUCUGGCGCGCCUCAAAAUCAGUGGCGGUGCCACCCGGCUUCAAGCGUAGUACUGAUCUCGCUUCCGGAGUCGUGGUGUUGCAGCUGCCAACAAUCCCACACUUCUCAAAAGGUUGACCUCGGAUCAGGUAGGGAUACCCGCUGAACUUAAGCAUAUCAAUAAGCGGAGGA